UGAUUAACGUCCCGACACGUUGUUAAGUUAUAUAAGGAACACGCAAGUCGCGCGCGAGCUUUAUCGUGCUUGAAUUCCCAGAGAGUAAACAUCGGAAAGGAACUUAACAUAAGCUUUCUCAAGCGCUGAAGCCAUCGACAGCAUAUAGACAAAAGAAUAGCAGGGAGGCAGACCAUAAACUGUAUGCAGGCGAUGUUGGUUUCGGGGUUUUCAGUUAUAAAGUAACACUGCUAGCGUGCGGAUCUGGACCAGCUCAAAUUGUAUUCCUGUAUUCCACUAUCAAGUCA
Molecule: unclassified non-coding RNA, 287 nt
Filed under: Bombus terrestris (buff-tailed bumblebee)
Lineage: Eukaryota; Metazoa; Arthropoda; Insecta; Hymenoptera; Apidae
Description: misc RNA ENSBTSG00005028224.1
Source: RNAcentral